This is a long non-coding RNA of Salmo salar (Atlantic salmon), 777 nucleotides long. RefSeq lists it as uncharacterized. Lineage: Eukaryota; Metazoa; Chordata; Actinopteri; Salmoniformes; Salmonidae. The record is from RefSeq and is a predicted model, not a curated record.
UGUCAGACAACACUGCACGUCACCAGUAACGCAGACGGAACACUGCUCUCUUCCUGGUAUCCUGGUUAGGUGGACCAUGGCUUGCGUGUAUCAUUCAUUUACCUAUGCUACUCUCAGGGAAGAUGUAAAAACAAAUGAGAUCUGAAAUCACAGGUGAAGGCAACAAGUUGGAUGCUGACUGGGCAUCUGCUGUCACCUGUUCCUUCACUGAAGGAAAGGAGAUGAUAUGAAGUCAUGUUGGACUAUUGAGAAGUACUCUUGGAUUUAGCAAAGUCAUGUUUGUAGGUGUAGAAAGACCAUUCAGAGGACUGGAAUUCCAUCCUCCUCCUCUUUGUGUAGGUUUACCAAUGUUUAAACUGUGGUAAAGGAUCUCCAACACAGCUCAACUCAAGGAAAUACCAAUGCUGAGUACACAAAGACAACACAGAAUUGUGUUCAAUCUGACCAGGAAGCUCAUUUACUAUACUGGAAUCAAAUGCUUCAUCAUUCUACUUCAUGCCCACAUGGUGGCUCAACCCUAGCCCUAGCCUCAACCCUAACACUUACCUUAGUGUAAACAUUUCCCCACACGUGUCAACUACACUGUUAAACUUAGGUGCUUUGUAACACCAAAACUAGCUGCAACUGGGCUGCCACCAACUUGAAGGAGACAAAACUUGAACUUUGCUGGAGUUUUGAAACACAUCAUCCUGAGAUGUUUUGAAACAUUGUAACACCACUAAAUCAAGUGUUGUGCAACACCUUGCCAGGGAAUAAACACCAUUAUGAUGUUUUGAA